GACGGAGGGAGCAAGCGUUGUUCGGAUUUACUGGGCGUAAAGGGCGUCUAGGCGGGCUUGCAAGUCAGAUGUGAAAUCCCCCGGCUCAACCGGGGAGCUGCAUUUGAUACUGCUGGUCUUGAGUACGGAAGAGGGAGGCGGAAUUCCUGGUGUAGCGGUGAAAUGCGUAGAUAUCAGGAAGAACACCGGUGGCGAAGGCGGCCUCCUGGUCCGAUACUGACGCUAAAGCGCGAAAGUGUGGGGAGCAAACAGG
Molecule: ribosomal RNA, 253 nt
Filed under: uncultured bacterium
Lineage: Bacteria
Description: partial 16S ribosomal RNA
Rfam family: Bacterial small subunit ribosomal RNA
Source: RNAcentral